AUUUCCCAGAACUCUCUUGGCAAUCAGGUGGCUGUGGCUCCACCACCAUCAACCAAUCAACGCUCAUCCUCACCUGAAUAUGGAUCUGUUUCACCGGUUCCCUCUAUCAUGUGAUCAUACCUAGUUAGGAUAUAAGCCUAGGCUUUAGACUAGAUCUAUGUGAGGUAUUACUUGUUGUCAUUGCCUAACUGUGUGUCAGACUUCGCUUCUGUAUUUUUGACUUUGCCUUUUGUCUUGCCCCUUUUGUACCCUUUUUUCUGGUUCCUGUCCCUGUUAUGUUUUCCUUUUUCUUAUUUGGAUCUUCCUGGCUUUGACCUCUGCCUGUGACCACGAUUUUGGAUUGUGUUCAAAGUUCAAACAAUUAAAGCCUCAUUCUCUGACAGUAUUUCUGGCGACCUGUCCAGGGUGUAUUCUGCCUUCCGCCCAAUAACCGCUGGGACUGGCUCCAGAAGCCCCCGUGACCCAGAAGGAUAAGUGGCUUAGAAAAUGUGUCUAUGUAUUUAUUGUAUUUUCUGCACUCAUGUCCUGUUGUCGUGUAUCUGCACUCUAUGUAGUCCUGUGUAAGGUGCUUCUGUUGUGUGUUUCAUCACGAGGCAUGAAGAACAACAUUUCGUUCAAUGGAUACAAAUUAAAAUAAGAAAUGACGAAGA
Long non-coding RNA from Colossoma macropomum (tambaqui), 650 nucleotides. RefSeq lists it as uncharacterized. The record is from RefSeq and is a predicted model, not a curated record. The transcript has 2 exons. NCBI's taxonomy places the organism in Eukaryota, Metazoa, Chordata, Actinopteri, Characiformes, Serrasalmidae.